Molecule: unclassified non-coding RNA, 385 nt
Filed under: uncultured fungus
Lineage: Eukaryota; Fungi
Description: partial contains small subunit ribosomal RNA, internal transcribed spacer 1, and 5.8S ribosomal RNA
Rfam family: Eukaryotic small subunit ribosomal RNA (bases 1-73)
Source: RNAcentral
GCAAACUUGGUCAUUUAGAGGAAGUAAAAGUCGUAACAAGGUUUCCGUAGGUGAACCUGCGGAAGGAUCAUUAAUAAAUACUUGAUCUUUUCUGAUUAACCUUACCAGUGAAUAUAGUGUAUAACUUUUUGGUUAUAAUUGUUGGGUGCUCUUUUUAUCCGGAGUUGGGGGAUUGAUGGGGACUGUCUUAGGCUGUAACCGGCCAAGAUGGGAGUCAUCUCUAAUCAAACUGGGUGGGGAAGGGUAGCUGGCUAUUAUUUAACUUUUUUUAUGUUAGUGAUGUUAGUAAACAUAGUUUAGAUCUGAAAGUAGUGUAAAGAUAAUAUAUCUUAAAAAAACUUCUAACAAUGGAUCUCUUGGCUCUUACAUCGAUGAAGAACGCAGC